RNAcentral lists this ribosomal RNA (316 nucleotides) under uncultured bacterium. Its description in RNAcentral is "bacterial SSU rRNA". It matches the Rfam family "Bacterial small subunit ribosomal RNA", at positions 1181 to 1496 of the family's 1533-position model. The record is from RNAcentral.
GACGUCAAAUCAUCAUGCCCCUUACGUCCUGGGCCACACACGUACUACAAUGGCGGCCAACAAAGAGAGGCAAAGCCGCGAGGUGGAGCAAAUCUCAAAAAGCCGUCCCAGUUCGGAUCGCAGGCUGCAACCCGCCUGCGUGAAGUUGGAAUCGCUAGUAAUCGCGGAUCAGCAUGCCGCGGUGAAUACGUUCCCGGGCCUUGUACACACCGCCCGUCACACCAUGAGAGUCGGGAACACCCGAAGUCCGUAGCCUAACCGCAAGGGGGGCGCGGCCGAAGGUGGGUUCGAUAAUUGGGGUGAAGUCGUAACAAGG